GCUGGGUAUGGUGGCAUAUGCCUGUAGUCCUAGCUACUUGGGAGGCUGAGGCAGGAGAAUUGCUUGAGCCCAGGAGUUCCAGGCUGCAGUGAGCUUUGGUAGCACCAUUGCACUUUAGCCUGGGCAACAGAGUGAGAUCCUGUCUCAA
Unclassified non-coding RNA from Macaca fascicularis (crab-eating macaque), 148 nucleotides. It matches the Rfam family "Metazoan signal recognition particle RNA". From Rfam's summary of the family: The signal recognition particle (SRP) is a universally conserved ribonucleoprotein. It is involved in the co-translational targeting of proteins to membranes. Lineage: Eukaryota; Metazoa; Chordata; Mammalia; Primates; Cercopithecidae. The record is from Ensembl.